UUGGAGGGCAAGUCUGGUGCCAGCAGCCGCGGUAAUUCCAGCUCCAAUAGCGUAUAUUAAAGUUGUUGCAGUUAAAAAGCUCGUAGUUGAAUUUCGGGAUCAGAUUGUCGGUCGUGCCUCGGUACGUACUGGCAUUAUUGGUUCCUACCUUCUGAAGAACCGCGAUGUCAUUAAUUUGGUGUCGUGGGGAAUCAGGACUGUUACUUUGAAAAAAUUAGAGUGUUUAAAGCAGGCGCACGCUUGAAUACAUUAGCAUGGAAUAAUGAAAUAGGACGUUUGAUUCUAUUUUGUUGGUUUCUAGGAUCGACGUAAUGAUUAAUAGGGAUAGUUGGGGGCAUUAGUAUUCAAUUGUCAGAGGUGAAAUUCUUGGAUUUAUUGAAGACUAACUACUGCGAAAGCAUUUGCCAAGGAUGUUUUCAUUAAUCAAGAACGAAAGUUAGGGGAUCGAAGACGAUCAGAUACCGUCGUAGUCUUAACCAUAAACUAUGCCGACUAGGGAUCGGAUGAUGUUAAUUUUUUAAUGACUCAUUCGGCGCCUUACGGGAAAC
RNAcentral lists this ribosomal RNA (548 nucleotides) under uncultured Glomeromycotina. Its description in RNAcentral is "SSU rRNA". It matches the Rfam family "Eukaryotic small subunit ribosomal RNA", at positions 548 to 1098 of the family's 1831-position model. The record is from RNAcentral. Lineage: Eukaryota; Fungi; Glomeromycota.